UACGUAGGGUGCAGGCGUUAAUCGGAAUUACUGGGCGUAAAGCGCGUGUAGGCGGUCCGGUAAGUCCGCUGUGAAAGUCGAGGGCUCAACCCUCGAAUGCCGGUGGAUACUGUCGGGCUUGAGUACGGGAGAGGCGAGUGGAAUUCCUGGUGUAGCGGUGAAAUGCGCAGAUAUCAGGAGGAACACCGAUUGCGAAGGCAGGUCUCUGGGCUGACACUGACGCUCAUGCACGAAAGCGUGGGGAGCAAACAGG
RNAcentral lists this ribosomal RNA (253 nucleotides) under uncultured bacterium. RNAcentral describes it as "partial 16S ribosomal RNA". It matches the Rfam family "Bacterial small subunit ribosomal RNA", at positions 524 to 776 of the family's 1533-position model. The record is from RNAcentral.